AACGACGCUGGCGGCAGGCCUAACACAUGCAAGUCGAGCGCCCCGCAAGGGGAGCGGCAGACGGGUGAGUAACACGUGGGAACGUACCCUUUGCUACGGAAUAGUCUCGGGAAACUGGGGGUAAUACCGUAUGUGCCCUUCGGGGGAAAGAUUUAUCGGCAAAGGAUCGGCCCGCGUUGGAUUAGGUAGUUGGUGGGGUAAUGGCCUACCAAGCCGACGAUCCAUAGCUGGUUUGAGAGGAUGAUCAGCCACACUGGGACUGAGACACGGCCCAGACUCCUACGGGAGGCAGCAGUGGGAAAUCUUAGACAAUGGGCGCAAGCCUGAUCUAGCCAUGCCGCGUGAGCGAUGAAGGCCUUAGGGUUGUAAAGCUCUUUCAGUGGGGAAGAUAAUGACUGUACCCACAGAAGAAGCCCCGGCUAACCCCGUG
RNAcentral lists this ribosomal RNA (430 nucleotides) under uncultured bacterium. RNAcentral describes it as "bacterial SSU rRNA". It matches the Rfam family "Bacterial small subunit ribosomal RNA", at positions 33 to 507 of the family's 1533-position model. The record is from RNAcentral.